UACGGAGGGUCCAAGCGUUAUCCGGAAUCAUUGGGUUUAAAGGGUCCGUAGGCGGUUUUAUAAGUCAGUGGUGAAAUCUGGUCGCUCAACGAUCAAACGGCCAUUGAUACUGUAAGACUUGAAUUACUUGGAAGUAACUAGAAUAUGUAGUGUAGCGGUGAAAUGCUUAGAGAUUACAUGGAAUACCAAUUGCGAAGGCAGGUUACUACAAGUAUAUUGACGCUGAUGGACGAAAGCGUGGGGAGCGAACAGG
Molecule: ribosomal RNA, 253 nt
Filed under: uncultured bacterium
Lineage: Bacteria
Description: partial 16S ribosomal RNA
Rfam family: Bacterial small subunit ribosomal RNA
Source: RNAcentral